GCUGGGCACGGUGGCGCGUGCCUGUAAUCCCAGCUACUCGGGAGGCUGAGGCAGGAGGAUUGCCUGAACCCAGGAGGCGGAGGUUGCGGUGAGCCGAGGUCACGCCACUGCACUCCAGCCUGGGUAACAAGAGCGAGACUCUGUCUCAA
Unclassified non-coding RNA from Callithrix jacchus (white-tufted-ear marmoset), 149 nucleotides. It matches the Rfam family "Metazoan signal recognition particle RNA". From Rfam's summary of the family: The signal recognition particle (SRP) is a universally conserved ribonucleoprotein. It is involved in the co-translational targeting of proteins to membranes. The eukaryotic SRP consists of a 300-nucleotide 7S RNA and six proteins: SRPs 72, 68, 54, 19, 14, and 9. NCBI's taxonomy places the organism in Eukaryota, Metazoa, Chordata, Mammalia, Primates, Cebidae. The record is from Ensembl.